This 322-nucleotide ribosomal RNA is filed under the name uncultured eukaryote. RNAcentral's name for it is "partial 18S ribosomal RNA". It matches the Rfam family "Eukaryotic small subunit ribosomal RNA", at positions 1470 to 1796 of the family's 1831-position model. The record is from RNAcentral.
CCCUUAGAUGUUCUGGGCCGCACGCGUGCUACACUGAGUGGAUCAGCGGGUCAGGUUGCGCGAAAGUGUUUCCUAAUCUUGAAAUCCGCUCGUGAUGGGGAUUGACGGUUGCAAUUUUCUGUCAUGAACGAGGAAUACCUUGUAAGCGCGGGUCAUCAUCCCGCGCUGAAUACGUCCCUGCCCUUUGUACACACCGCCCGUCGCUCCUACCGAUUGAGUGGUCCGGUGAGGCUUUGGGAUCUGGAUGGAAAGAGCGUUUCGCUGUUUCUGCUCGGAAAACUCAGUCGAACCUUAUCAUUUAGAGGAAGGAGAAGUCGUAACA